CCUACGGGGGGCAGCAGUGAGGAAUAUUGGUCAAUGGACGAGAGUCUGAACCAGCCAAGUAGCGUGAAGGAUGACUGCCCUAUGGGUUGUAAACUUCUUUUAUAAAGGAAUAAAACGAGGCACGUGUGCCUUUUUGCAUGUACUUUAUGAAUAAGGAUCGGCUAACUCCGUGCCAGCAGCCGCGUUAAUACGGAGGGUCCGAGCGUUAUCCGGAUUUAUUGGGUUUAAAGGGAGCGUAGAUGGGUUGUUAAGUCAGUUGUGAAAGUUUGAGGCUCAACCGUAAAAUUGCAAUUGAUACUGGCAGUCGUGAGUACAGUUGAGGUAGGUGGAAUUCGUGGUGUAGCGGUGAAAUGCUUAGAUAUCACGAAGAACCCCGAUUGCGAAGGCAGCUUACUAAACUGUGACUGACAUUGAUGCUCGAAAGUGUGGGUAUCAAACAGGAUUAGAUACCCUGGUAGUC
This 460-nucleotide ribosomal RNA is filed under the name uncultured bacterium. RNAcentral's name for it is "partial 16S ribosomal RNA". It matches the Rfam family "Bacterial small subunit ribosomal RNA", at positions 338 to 795 of the family's 1533-position model. The record is from RNAcentral.